UAAUAAGUGUUUUAUGGCACUUUUUAAAUCCAUAUCCACCUUGUGUGCAAUGUCAGUCGGUUUUCUUUUUCGUCAAGAAAAAAAGGAUCGACCAAAUAUCAACUUAUUCUAAUUGAACUUUUGUCUGAAAACUAUUAUGAAUAAACUAAUUCAAAAUA
RNAcentral lists this unclassified non-coding RNA (158 nucleotides) under soil metagenome. Its description in RNAcentral is "partial internal transcribed spacer 1". The record is from RNAcentral.